RNAcentral lists this small nuclear RNA (191 nucleotides) under Leptobrachium leishanense (Leishan spiny toad). RNAcentral describes it as "U2 spliceosomal RNA (ENSLLEG00000004770.1)". It matches the Rfam family "U2 spliceosomal RNA". Rfam says of the family: U2 is a small nuclear RNA (snRNA) component of the spliceosome (involved in pre-mRNA splicing). Lineage: Eukaryota; Metazoa; Chordata; Amphibia; Anura; Megophryidae. The record is from Rfam by way of RNAcentral.
AUCACUUCUCAGCCUUUUGGCUAAGAUCAAGUGUAGUAUCUGUCCUUAUCAGUUUAAUAUCUGAUACGCCCCCUAUCUGGGGGCCAUAUAUUACAUGGAUUUUUAGAACAGGGAGAUGAAAGAAGAUCUUUCUCUGACCACUUCACGCAUUGACCUGGAAUUGCAGUACCUCCAGGACCGGUGCACAAAAA